UACAGAUGAGAACACUGAAUUCCAGUUUGAUUGCAAUGGAAAGAUAAUUUUGGGUAAUGUUUUAUCAUUGUGUGUUAUAUGUGUGUAUGUGUAUAUGUAAAUAAAUGUGCAUGUAUACGCUUGUGUGUUUUAGGUGCAACCAUGAAUCCUCAAUCCUCAAACACGGUUGAUACUGCAGCAUGCAGUCAAAUAUCAGCAUUCAGUCAAAUCAGCCACCAUAUGAAGAGCAAACGUCACAGUGUGACAAGCCACAAG
Xyrauchen texanus (razorback sucker) is the source of this 255-nucleotide long non-coding RNA. RefSeq lists it as uncharacterized. The transcript is spliced from 3 exons. The record is from RefSeq and is a predicted model, not a curated record. Lineage: Eukaryota; Metazoa; Chordata; Actinopteri; Cypriniformes; Catostomidae.